GGCAACUCUGCUUUGCUUUCUUAGCUUAACUUUUUCUACAAGUGUCAAUAUAUACAUCACACACAUACCAUACAACAUAUGUCCGUUGUCUUCUCUGCUAGUCUAUGCUCUGACUGAACAUCAUGAAGGAAAAGGAGAAGAAGGAGAAGAGGAAGAGGAAGAGGAAGAGGAAGGGUAAGGAAGAGAAUUCAAAUCUGUCUCUUCUUUCCUUGAGAGGUUAGAAGAAGAAGAAGAAGAAGAAGAAGCUAUAAACAGGCAAGUCAUAGAGGCAAAAGGGAAGGCCCAAGCCUUUCUUCCAGUGGUGUUUUUUUGGGGGGGUUUCCUUGUUGGUUGUUUCAAACCGUCUUCCGUGUGUUGUUGUCGUCGUUGUCCGUCUCUAUCUGUUUGUAAGUUGAUUAAAAAUAAGAUUAAAGAGUGUUGUCAGUCUCAGACUGGGUUAGUGGGAAAAGGGUGUCUUUGUGUUUUAUCUGAAACGGGCAAGUUUGACUGCUUCCUUUCCUUUGUUUUUCUUUUGCCCUUUGUUUGUAUCAGCACAGCACAGCAGAGACAGAGUCUAUUAAAAGCUUUACCUCCCUUCUUUUAUUAUCAUAUCUGUUAUAAACUUGCUCUUGCCCAAGGCUUCAAGCUGAUCUACUGAUUCACCCGUCAUUUAUUUGAAAUACUACUUAAUAAGUAAGUCUCACUUGUCUUAUCCAUCCUAGCACUUCUCACUUAUCAAUGAUUCCUCUUACAGGCGAUCCAAUUGAAGAGUUGUGUUUCGACUUCAGUUCAUCCACCGAACGAAGCUGCCGAUUUAGCAGCACGAUUUUACUGCUUUCCAUCCGAGCGUCUCCUUACAGAACUAUCCCGAGUACAACACGCGAUCGAAGAUUGGAGAAACAAUGAUCCAGCAGAACUUGCUUUAAUCAAAGAUUGGAGAAACAAUGGUGUGUUUUAAAUUGAUUAAAGUAUGGGGUGAUCCAGCAGAACUUGCUAUUAGAUCAGCCUCAACAAAACAUGGGACAUCAACAACUCUUCAUCUAACAAAACUCUAUGUCCCUUCUUUCAAAACCAGACACUUCUAUUACGCAGCAGCUACUUUCACUAAUCAUAAUCAUAAUAAUACCUAUUUAUUAAUCUCCGUCAUCGUCGUCAUCGCCAACGAUUUCUGGGACUAACUACUCAC
RNAcentral lists this long non-coding RNA (1165 nucleotides) under Linum usitatissimum (flax). RNAcentral's name for it is "long non-coding RNA (LUSI_LNC003094)". The record is from RNAcentral. Lineage: Eukaryota; Viridiplantae; Streptophyta; Magnoliopsida; Malpighiales; Linaceae.